UAUUUAGUGUAACUAUAUCCCAUGCAAUAUUUAGGACAUACUUACACUAAAA
This 52-nucleotide microRNA precursor is filed under the name Sus scrofa (pig). RNAcentral's name for it is "mir-1302 microRNA precursor family". It matches the Rfam family "mir-1302 microRNA precursor family". Lineage: Eukaryota; Metazoa; Chordata; Mammalia; Artiodactyla; Suidae. The record is from Rfam by way of RNAcentral.